GUGUUUAUAGGACAUGGUUAGGUCCUUGUUCCCUCAAGAGUACUCGACGAAGUUUAUUAUUGUUUCAUGCGGAAUUUGAUUCCUUGCUAUAGACAAUGGAAUACAUGAUCUAUAUUGACGAUACUUCUGGCGCUUUUGCUUCCGACUGUUCAGAUCUGAUUUUUAUCAUUGACAAUCAAGAAGAUUGGCCGACAUUCGCAGCGGAAUUGGCAUCCUAUCGCUCCUUAGUUUGUUUUUUCCUUCUUUUCGUAUUAGAUUUCUUCUUCGUAGUUCUAAUACUCGAGCAGAUUGUUUAGCUAAGAAAGUUCGGACUCGUAAUAGCUUUUUCUCCCAUGCAAACACAUCGGUUCUUGAAUGGCUCUCUCUAGCGGAGAGUGUCUUUCCGAUAACUAAUAUAAUUGAUGUUAGAUGAAAAAAAAAAAGGUUGUGUAACUUGUGUUUAUGAAUUGAUUUCACUUUCACGUGACCAAAGUAAAACUAU
RNAcentral lists this small RNA (481 nucleotides) under Arabidopsis thaliana (thale cress). RNAcentral describes it as "ATSL184100". Lineage: Eukaryota; Viridiplantae; Streptophyta; Magnoliopsida; Brassicales; Brassicaceae. The record is from RNAcentral.